Molecule: long non-coding RNA, 5871 nt
Organism: Carassius auratus (goldfish)
Lineage: Eukaryota; Metazoa; Chordata; Actinopteri; Cypriniformes; Cyprinidae
Source: Ensembl
AUGUCAGCCAGUCCUGAAACAGUAAACCCCUCGGUUCGCACAAAGUGCCGUCCAGCCUAUAUACAAGAUUAUGAGGUGGACUUGCAGAGCUUCCAUAAAACCGUGUUACCAGUUAGUACAAGAGAACAACCAGUGGAGUCAUCUGAUGACGAUUACUCUUCGCCACAGGUUGGAGCAUCUGCUGCAAAGCCUAAGAGAGCACAUGGUUUACCCACCAUUUCUUCCCCGUCGAGGCUGACGGUCAGGGAUAAGCAUUGUGACCAUCCACGUCUUCUGCAGCAGCACAUUUCCAGUCCUGCCUACCAGUCAUCACCACAAUAUCCAAACCGACAGCUACAGUCUGAAUACGGUGCAGAGUUCGUUCCCCUUGGUGAUGAAGGUGAUGGAUACCAGAGUGACAGAUCCGAUGCUAGUUCCCUAAAGUUACAAAGGAUCUCAGAGGAGAAUUUAAAGCUUCGUGAAACACAGAAGGCCAUCCAAGCUGAUCUUAAACGAAUUAAGACCGCCAAAGAUGAGCUGAUCCAGCUUUUAGACAGAGCCUGUAGUCUCCAAAAGCCUUUAUCUAUGUCCAACACCCGUUCUGAUUAUCCAUCAGUUAAAUUCCACGAUGAAGCAUAUGCAGAUGAUGAAGACUGGCCAGAGCCUCCUCCACCCAUUUCAUACGAUGAGCCAGAAAAUAUCAAUCAGUGCGGCAGGCAAAGGAUUAAGAGCACUACAAGAGCCACACCAACAAUCACUCCUAGACUCACUUCUGUUGAAAAGACUAGGGAUUUCGGCUAUCCAAGUUCAUAUGGUAACCAGUUUAGGUAUGGCCAGUAUCCUGCACGACAGAUAGGUCCUCCAAAUGCACAUGAACAACCAGGAAGUCUUUAUCCUGAACAACACAGGACAGUUUCCUAUAAUGCGUCACCUCCCAUGGCAUCUGUGGAUCUGACAGAGAAAUAUUACAAAGGUCCCUCGCCCACCAUUCCUUACUUCUGCACCAAAGACCCAAGUGAGUUUGCUCGAUUAAAAAUAGCCUUGGAAAAUCUUCUGCCACCUGAUAGUACUGAGAUGUUCAAAUAUCAAGUACUGGUUAACCACUUGAAAUUAGAAGAUGCUUGUCUAAUAGCAGACUCCUUCUUGCACUCCCCUACACCUUAUCGAGACACCAUGUUGGCCCUGAAUGAGCGGUUCGGUCAGCCUCACCAAGUAGCAUUAAGACGGAUUGCCACUAUUCUUGAUUCACCUGAUAUAAGCCGCAAUGACCUUUCAGCCUUUGAGAAGUUCUCUCUUCAAGUGCAGUCUCUAGUUGGGCUGCUUAAGACUUUAGGCCAGACAGGGAGCGUUGAGUUGUAUUGUGGGUCGCAUGUUGCACGCCUUCUCAAUAAGUUGCCACCUGAAAGACGGGCUGAUUUCCGCCGCCACAUGUUACAUCGGCCUGGGGUGACAUACUCAUUGGUAGAUCUGGCAGAAUGGCUGAAAUAUGAGUCUUGGUGCCAAAGCUAUGAUGAUCAAACUGCCAAGGGAGAAAGUAGAGCCAAACGAGAUUUCCGAGUAGCUCCACGAGCACGCCAAACCACUGCCACAGUACUGACUGGGUCUGGAAAUAGUGUUGAUGUGAGAGCCACUGCAAAUUCUCCUGCCAAGGUUGAUGAGAAAGCUAAAGGUAGGCCCAUGGUAUAUUGCUCUUACUGUCAGAACUCUGAACAUGCUUUCAGUCAGUGCCCUCAAAUUCCGACCCUCACCAAAGAUCAACUCUCAGAGUGGAUACGAUCCAAUAGGAGAUGCUGGCGUUGUGGUCUUGCCCAUCAGGCUGCCCAUUGUGGUCUAAAGAAACCAUGUCCACUUUGUCAAAGGAAGCAUCUACGAAUCCUCCAUGAAGUAAAUGAGAGGCCUGUCACAGUGUCAUCCAAAACCGAGGCUUGCCUAGUUAGUUCAGCGACACAGACACUUUACCUGAACAAACCAGUCAGCAGUAAUAAAGUUUUGCUCAAGAUUGUCAGAGUACUCCUACAUCAUGGCAGUUGCACAUUAGACACAUUUGCAAUCCUUGAUGACGGUUCUGAGCGUACCAUGCUUCUGCCAGAUGCAGUACGAAAACUUGGCUUGAGAGGUACUGAAGAAAGCUUAGCUCUGAGAACAAUCCGUCAUGAUGUGCAAACCCUUGAAGGGGCUUCAGUCUCAUUCCACAUUUCUCCAUACUACAAUCCAAAGAAGCGAUAUCUGAUAUCCAGAGCCUUUACUGCACCACAGCUUGAUCUCAUUGACCACUCGUACCCAAUAGCUAAGCUGCAAAGGCAGUACAAACAUUUGGCUGGACUACCAUUGCAGAGCUUUGAAAAGGCCAAACCUCUCAUCCUUGUUGGCGCAGAUCAAACUCACAUGAUCACACCAAUUGAGCCGGUAAGACUUGGUCCACCUGGUGGCCCCGCUGCAAUAAGAACCAAACUAGGCUGGACACUGCAGGGCCCUACCAGCCUGUUAGAGCAGCGACUCAAGCCAAAGGAGUGUCUCCACAUAUCCCUUCCUCUUAGCACCACAGAAUUGUGCAAGAAUGUUAAUAGGCUGUGGCAAGUGGAUGUUUUGCCCUUUCGGAAUGAAACGGAGUGCACAAGGUCAAAGCAGGACCAAAGGGCCAUCGAACUGCUGGAAGCCAAAACAAUUCGCAUAAAGGUGGAUGGAAUACGCCGGUAUGCAACACCCUUGUUACGUAAAGGUGACAUGCCCCAUCUUCACGCCACUAUGGAAGCAGUCAUGCCACGCCUACGAAGUACUGAGAGGAAACUUGCCAGAGACCCGCAACAAGCUGAUGCCUAUUCCUCCGAAAUCCAGAAAUUGGUUCAGUCAGGAGCAAUCAGAAUGCUCAGUCCAGAAGAAAGAGAAGGUGGUGGUGAGUGCUGGUUUAUUCCACAUCACAUGGUGCACCAUAAUGGCAAGAAUCGUGUGGUGUUUGAUUGCUCAUUUCAGUUUAAUGGUCUCAGCUUAAAUGAUUCACUCCUCGCUGGCCCCAUCUUGGGUUCAUCUCUCCUUGGGGUCUUACUCAGAUUCCGUGAACAUACAGUCGCCAUCAGUGCGGAUAUCCGGGGCAUGUUCCACCAGGUCCGCCUUCUUCCUGAAGAUAGAUCACUUCUUCGGUUUAUCUGGCGUGACUCCAGGGAAAAGGGCACCCCUGAUGUCUUUGAAUGGCAGGUUCUGCCAUUUGGGGCAACGUGCAGCCCCUGCUGUGCAACCUUUGCCUUACAACAGCAUGUAAGAGACCAUAGCCAACCGGGUGAUGAUGUAAGGUUCUCCAUAGAACGAUGCUUUUAUGUUGACAAUUGCUUGCAGAGCUUGCCAUCACCAGAGGAGGCUAAGCAAUUGGUUGAUAAGCUGAGAGGUCUGUUAGCUGAAGGAGGCUUUGAAUUGAGGCAAUGGGCCAGCAAUAUUCCAGCUGUCAUUAACCAUCUUCCACCUGAAGCAAGAUCGGAUGGGUUUGAACUCUGGCUAGCCCAUGAAAAGACUGAUGUCCAAGAGUCCACAUUGGGCCUUAGCUGGAAUUGCCCAGCAGAUGUUCUGACUUACCGUCACCGGCCCAUCGAUCAUGGGGCUCCAACCAUGAGGAUUAUUUACAAAGUUUUAGCCAGUCAGUAUGACCCCUUAGGAUAUAUCCUCCCGUAUACUACAAGGGCUAAGGUACUGGUCCAACAACUUUGGAACAAGCAGCACAGCUGGGAUGACACUCAACUUCCCCAAGCCUUGGUUCAGAGCUGGAAUGAAUGGGAAAAUCAGCUGCAGUUUCUUCACAAAAUCAGUUUCCCAAGAUCAUAUGUACCAGCUUCAGUAGAUCAGACAAGAUCUAUUAUAGACCUUCACGUGUUCAGUGAUGCUUCAGAGAGCGCAUAUGGAGCAGUCGCCUACCUGCGCACUGAAGAUCAGCAGGGUAAGAUCCAUCUGUCAUUCGUAUUGGCACGUUCUAGAGUAGCACCUAAAAGAGUCCUGUCAAUACCCCGCUUGGAGCUCUGUGCUGCGGUAAUUGGUGCACAGCUAAAAACCCAGUUGCAGAAGGAAUUAACAUUGCCACUUCGCCACACAGUUCUCUGGACAGACUCUACUACAGUGCUGUCUUGGAUUCAGUCAGAGUCUUGCCAUUUCAAGGUUUUCGUCGGUACCAGAGUGGCUGAAAUCCAUGAGCUUACCAACACCACCGCUUGGCGAUACGUGGAUUCAGCUCAAAAUCCAGCGGAUGACCUUACAAGAGGAAAGACUCUAAAAGACCUUGCUAAGCCAAACAGAUGGAGCCAUGGGCCCCCAUUCCUGCUCCUUUCCUCAGAGAACUGGCCAGCAAACCCUACAGAGUGCCCCGAGAUUGACAAGUCUGAGUUCAAGAAAUCCGCAUUCUGUGGAGUUGUAGCUGUAAACGGACAAUUUGGCAGUGAGUACAAGACCUGGACAGAGCUGGUGAAGGCCAUUGCACAGGAGCUACAUGGGGCGGCUGGAGAGUCAGGAGAACCUACAGCAAACACUUACCAAACAGCAGAGACAGUCAUACUCCAGAAGGUGCAAAGUGAGAGUUUUCCUGAAGAAUUACAACGGUUGAGAUCAGGCAAACCUCUUCAACACAAUAGCCGCUUACUUACCUUAACUCCAGAAUAUGACACAUCGACCAAUCUAAUCCGGGUUGGUGGUAGGUUACGACAUGCAGAAACCUUAGAUCCUGCCCUGAAACAUCCAAUCGUACUAGAUUCUAGACAUCCAGCCGUGAAAUUACUGCUUCAAGAUUUUGAUGAAAGACUCUGUCAUCCAGGCCCUGAUCGGGUGUUUGCAGAAAUAGGGAGAAAAUACUGGGUGUUAAGAGGAAGAGCAGCCAUCCGCAUCUUACAGCAUGCCUGUACAGAAUGUCAAAGACUCAGAGCCAAACCUACCUUUCCCAAAAUGGCAGACCUUCCUGUGGCACGUUUACGCCUCUACAAACCAGCCUUCCAUUCCACCGGUAUGGAUUGCUUCGGCCCUUUCCUUGUAAAGAUUGGUCGACGAGUAGAAAAGAGGUGGGGAAUCCUCUACAAGUGUCUUACCACACGAGCCGUACACGUGGACCUGCUUAACAGCUUGGACACAGAUUCAUUUUUGAUGUCGCUACGUAGGUUUAUUGCUCGAAGAGGUUCCCCAGUAGAAUUACUGUCAGACCAAGGAACAAAUUUCCGAGGUGGUGAACGGGAACUGUGCGAGGCAUUCCAGGCCAUGUCACCUGAUCUCCAGCGAAAACUCGCACCACAAAAGAUAGCAUUCCAUUUCAAUCCCCCUGCAGCACCACACUUUGGGGGAGUGUGGGAAAGGGAGAUAAGAUCCAUUAAAAUGGCACUAUCUACAACUAUUGGGGACCAAACAGUACCAGAGGAAGUACUCAGGACUGUUCUGAUCGAAGUAGAGAACAUUCUUAACUCCAAACCCCUCGGGUAUGUGUCUUGCAAUGUGGCUGAUCCUGAUCCAGUAACACCCAACCUUCUUCUCACAGGGCGGCUAGACAACUCCCUACCUACAGUCAUAUACCCUAAAGAAGAGGGAUUGAGUCGUCGCCGUUGGAGACACUCUCAAGUGUUAGCUGACCACUUCUGGUCCUCUUUUAUCCGCCAUUACCUUCCGAACUUGCAAGUCAGACAGAAAUGGCAACAUACAUUCCCUAAUAUGACCACCGGCACAAUAGUCAUGAUAAUGGAUCCUCAUCAGCCCAGAGCCCAUUGGCCAAUUGGAAAGGUAGUCCAGGUGCAUCCCAGUCAAGAUUCGCAAGUGAGAUCAGUGGAUGUCCAAGUUCAAGGGAAAAUUUAUACUAGACCUGUAGCUCGACUUGUGGCUCUACCCCCCAUUCCUGAAGAUGAUACAGAGGAGACCAAUACCCCAACGCAGCAGCAGUGA